This 460-nucleotide ribosomal RNA is filed under the name uncultured bacterium. Its description in RNAcentral is "partial 16S ribosomal RNA". It matches the Rfam family "Bacterial small subunit ribosomal RNA", at positions 338 to 795 of the family's 1533-position model. The record is from RNAcentral.
CCUACGGGAGGCAGCAGUGAGGAAUAUUGGUCAAUGGGCGCUAGCCUGAACCAGCCAAGUAGCGUGAAGGAUGACUGCCCUAUGGGUUGUAAACUUCUUUUAUAUAGGAAUAAAGUGAAGCACGUGUGCCUUUUUGCAUGUACCUUAUGAAUAAGGAUCGGCUAACUCCGUGCCAGCAGCCGCGGUAAUACGGAGGAUCCGAGCGUUAUCCGGAUUUAUUGGGUUUAAAGGGAGCGUAGGUGGGUUGUUAAGUCAGUUGUGAAAGUUUGCGGCUCAACCGUAAAAUUGCAGUUGAUACUGGCAGCCUUGAGUACAGUUGAGGUAGGCGGAAUUCGUGGUGUAGCGGUGAAAUGCUUAGAUAUCACGAAGAACUCCGAUUGCGAAGGCAGCCUACUGGACUGCCACUGACGCUGAUGCUCGAAAGUGUGGGUAUCAAACAGGAUUAGAUACCCCAGUAGUC